AGAGUUUGAUUAUGGCUCAGGACGAACGCUGGCGGCGUGCCUAAUACAUGCAAGUAGAACGCUGAAGAGAGGAGCUUGCUCUUCUUGGAUGAGUUGCGAACGGGUGAGUAACGCGUAGGUAACCUGCCUUGUAGCGGGGGAUAACUAUUGGAAACGAUAGCUAAUACCGCAUAACAAUAGGUGACACAUGUCAUUUAUUUGAAAGGGGCAAUUGCUCCACUACAAGAUGGACCUGCGUUGUAUUAGCUAGUAGGUGAGGUAACGGCUCACCUAGGCGACGAUACAUAGCCGACCUGAGAGGGUGAUCGGCCACACUGGGACUGAGACACGGCCCAGACUCCUACGGGAGGCAGCAGUAGGGAAUCUUCGGCAAUGGGGGCAACCCUGACCGAGCAACGCCGCGUGAGUGAAGAAGGUUUUCGGAUCGUAAAGCUCUGUUGUAAGUCAAGAACGAGUGUGAGAGUGGAAAGUUCACACUGUGACGGUAGCUUACCAGAAAGGGACGGCUAACUACGUGCCAGCAGCCGCGGUAAUACGUAGGUCCCGAGCGUUGUCCGGAUUUAUUGGGCGUAAAGCGAGCGCAGGCGGUUUGAUAAGUCUGAAGUUAAAGGCUGUGGCUCAACCAUAGUUCGCUUUGGAAACUGUCAAACUUGAGUGCAGAAGGGGAGAGUGGAAUUCCAUGUGUAGCGGUGAAAUGCGUAGAUAUAUGGAGGAACACCGGUGGCGAAAGCGGCUCUCUGGUCUGUAACUGACGCUGAGGCUCGAAAGCGUGGGGAGCGAACAGGAUUAGAUACCCUGGUAGUCCACGCCGUAAACGAUGAGUGCUAGGUGUUGGAUCCUUUCCGGGAUUCAGUGCCGCAGCUAACGCAUUAAGCACUCCGCCUGGGGAGUACGACCGCAAGGUUGAAACUCAAAGGAAUUGACGGGGGCCCGCACAAGCGGUGGAGCAUGUGGUUUAAUUCGAAGCAACGCGAAGAACCUUACCAGGUCUUGACAUCCCGAUGCUAUUUCUAGAGAUAGAAAGUUACUUCGGUACAUCGGUGACAGGUGGUGCAUGGUUGUCGUCAGCUCGUGUCGUGAGAUGUUGGGUUAAGUCCCGCAACGAGCGCAACCCCUAUUGUUAGUUGCCAUCAUUCAGUUGGGCACUCUAGCGAGACUGCCGGUAAUAAACCGGAGGAAGGUGGGGAUGACGUCAAAUCAUCAUGCCCCUUAUGACCUGGGCUACACACGUGCUACAAUGGUUGGUACAACGAGUUGCGAGUCGGUGACGGCAAGCUAAUCUCUUAAAGCCAAUCUCAGUUCGGAUUGUAGGCUGCAACUCGCCUACAUGAAGUCGGAAUCGCUAGUAAUCGCGGAUCAGCACGCCGCGGUGAAUACGUUCCCGGGCCUUGUACACACCGCCCGUC
This 1406-nucleotide ribosomal RNA is filed under the name uncultured bacterium. RNAcentral describes it as "bacterial SSU rRNA". It matches the Rfam family "Bacterial small subunit ribosomal RNA". The record is from RNAcentral.